CUCAUAUUAAAAGAUAUAAAAUUUUAAUCAAUAACGAGAGUGACGGGCGAUGUGUACACACUUCAGAGCCAAUAUCAGUUAAAUUAAAUAAUUUAAAUUACUAUCAAAUCCACCUUCAUUAAAAUAUUACAAAAUUAAAUCCAUAAUAAAAAAAAAUUAUUGUAACCCAUCAUACACUUAAUUAUAAGCUGCACCUUGACCUGAAAUAAAUUUUAAUAAAAAAACAAGAAAAUUUUUUCUCCAAAAAGAUUUUCUGAUAACGGAGAUAUACAAACAAAUAAAUUAAGUAAAGUAAAUCGUGUACUAUCAAUCAUGAGAUAGGUUCCUCUGAAUGGAAUGAAAUACCGCCAAAUUCUUUGGGUUUAAAGACCUUAACUAAUAAUACCCAGGUAAAACAAAAUUUACAUUUAAAAUAAUA
This 418-nucleotide ribosomal RNA is filed under the name Locusta migratoria (migratory locust). RNAcentral describes it as "partial 12S rRNA". Lineage: Eukaryota; Metazoa; Arthropoda; Insecta; Orthoptera; Acrididae. The record is from RNAcentral.